AUGGAUUACGAGCCGGCAGUGAUUUGCGAUCGAUGCGGCAGGAAGGCGCCGCGGUGGAUAUCCUGGAGUCCGGCGAACCCUGGUAGGAGAUAUUAUUCCUGCGUUGAUUCUCAUGUAAGCAUUCCUCACCAGCACGGCUUCAUCGACUGGCAUGACACCCCCACGACGCCAUUUCUUCGUCAAUUGCUAGGAGAUCUACGGCACAAAGUGUGGAGGCUGGAGGAUGAGCUUGCUGGGCAGACACCAGAAGGAGAGGUUAUUCUUUUGAGAGAGGAAUUGGAGAAGAAAAAUGCUUUAGUUGCAGAAAUGGGAGCUAGAUGUGAUAGUAAACAUGAGAUGGAGAUGUAUAAGUCUCUGUUUUAUGGCAUGGUGCUCUUUGUUGCUGGUUUAGUUGCAGGGUUCUUUCUUUUUCAGUAG
This 417-nucleotide ribosomal RNA is filed under the name Triticum aestivum (bread wheat). RNAcentral describes it as "partial small subunit ribosomal RNA". Lineage: Eukaryota; Viridiplantae; Streptophyta; Magnoliopsida; Poales; Poaceae. The record is from RNAcentral.